Long non-coding RNA from Papaver somniferum (opium poppy), 915 nucleotides. RefSeq lists it as uncharacterized. Lineage: Eukaryota; Viridiplantae; Streptophyta; Magnoliopsida; Ranunculales; Papaveraceae. The transcript is spliced from 6 exons. The record is from RefSeq and is a predicted model, not a curated record.
UUAUUCUUUUUUUCAUGAGGCUUAUCUUCUAAAAAAUAUCUGGUCUUUAUUCAUUUAGUUUAUUCUCUCAUUCGUUUCCUUUUUUUCUCCGCCGCUGAAGAACAGAUACAGGAUCUAAAGGAGGAAACUUGAAGGACAUAUAGGAGUGUUUUAAGGAUGCCUCGAGGUGGAGCGACUAUGAGGUUCUUGCAUGACCUAUUACCAAAUCAUAGGCUUGCAGUUGAAGUGGACCUGGUUCACUUUUGUCCUUUGGGGUUUAAUGGUACGUAUAUAACCAAAUAUUAUCAGUCAUCCAGCGAAAGAUGGACACAAACUACCGUUGACAAUAAAUGACUGGAAAUACAUGCCUCCACACUUCAUUGAGAAUGUGGUACUUGAAACAAAGCAAAUAUUUGAGUACCCAGAAGUGUUGGAUGACUGGAUCUACACCAAGAUAAGUGAUAGGUUAAGAAUUAUUGGGGCGAAGAAUCAUCCACCACUCCUACCACUGACCUAAAUGCUGAAGUUUUGAUGGCCUGGGAACUGCCAACACAGCUUAUCAGGAAGCCUUGAUUAGGAUUGCAGAAUUGGAGGAAGAACUAAGGAAAUACAAGACUGUUAACACAUCGACUAACGCAGGGAUCAGGAACAGUCCAUGAAUGGAAGAUCUUGGUGCACAUAGAUGCUUUACUAAUAUACUACUUAUAUACAACUAUGGCGACUCAGGCAUUUUGGAUGUUGAUAAUCUUAGUUACCAGCUUUUUGAGCUCUCCGGGUGUUGUUCUGUUGCCCAGAUGGCAGAAGUAUGUUUUCUGAACAGUUAAACAUCUUACUGUCGGAUAUGUAAGUUUCUAUGGUGCAUCAAUAUAAAACUUUGCGAUGAAUGGUACACGUUUCUGGUUUGAAAAUCUUUUUAAUUAUUGUGUGAAUGCAAAA